UUGGAACAAACUGCUAAAAUAAUCAUCUAUUCUAUUCUAUUAUCUAUUAUCUAUUAUAUUAGAUAAAAAGAGAAAAAAAAUCCUAAUCUUCGUUUUCAUUUUCCUUGUUACAUGUAGUGAAAAUUCCCAUUCUUCUUCUUCUCCAUCUUAGUCGAGAGAUACCUAGUACUUACCCGUUUUCGCGAGAGCCACCCACCCCAUCUUCGCAAGAGCCACCCACCCCAUCAAGCUUUGCGUUGCAUAUGCAGUGGAUAUCUUCACUCGAUUCAUGUUCUCUCUCUUUAUUCAACGACAUCCGUUUUCAACUACUCCGCCUCCUCAUUGAGAUUCACUGUCAAUUCCUCUCCAGCGACGCCGACACUAAUCUUAGGGAAGUUUAAACUUUUUUUACUUUUCUAUUUAAUUGAUUUAUCAUUUAUUACAUCUUUGUUUUUUUUCUAUGUAGUUUAAUCUUGGGAGAUAUUUUUAGUAAACUAUUGAGAGGUGCAUUUGUUUUCUUGAUAUUCAGAUAUGGUUGUAAAAUUUGAGUAGAUUCUCUAUAAAAUUCAUGUGUAUUAGGACUAAGGGUUAUCUAUUAGGAAUUAGGUUGAAUUUUUGGAUCUGUUUUAAUUGAUGAGUUUUCAAAUUACCAAAUUGUCUUUCACUUGCUUCUUGACCUAAAUUACCAAAUUGUGUUCCUCUGCAGCAUUGUGAUUGGCUAUGAUGAAGGGACUAUUAUAGUUAAACGUGGUCGAGAAGUACCUGUGGCUAGCAUGGACAACAGUGAAAAAAUUAUUUGGGCUAAGCAUAAUGAAAUUCAAACUUUCAAUAUAAAAAAUGUAGCAGCAAAUGUGGAGGUUGCUGAUGGAGAAGGGUUACCCUUGGCUAUUAAGGAGUUGGGCAUUUGUGAUCUCUACCCAUAAGUUAGAUGUGUUGGGAGAAAUUACGGAUUUUGUUGUAUGUUUUGAUUGUUUUAGAGAGAUUUUAUAGAAAAUGAGGGUCCUAUGCUUGUAAAAGGAGGAAAAGAAAUUGUCCCAAGUGUGAUCAAAACUAUGCAAGUUGCCAGGCAACGUGGAAUUCUCAUAGUUUAGUGGUUGAAUGUUAUUAGAGGAGACCCAGAGGAAGUUGCUUGAACUGCAGGUAGAGUUGGAAGCCGAGAAAUUGAAAAGAAAGGUGAUCGAGGUUGAAGCAGUAGCAGAGAAGAGAAAGAGGCAGACGAUGGAGAGUGGUCUGAGAUAUCUAUUUCAGCAGCAGGGUGAGGAGCUACCACCAGACAUUGCUGCAGGGAUGAGUUCCGUGGAAUAAUAGAGUGACAAAUAGUAUAUUAGGAUAGGAAUUGUUUUAGUUUGAAGUCAACAUUUAGUUGAAUUUGACUAUGCAACUCUUUGCAAGAGACUUGUUUUAUUGAUAUCUUUAUAAAUAUAUUAUUUUGUCUUGCAUAUAA
Non-coding RNA from Arachis ipaensis, 1423 nucleotides. The record is from RefSeq and is a predicted model, not a curated record. NCBI's taxonomy places the organism in Eukaryota, Viridiplantae, Streptophyta, Magnoliopsida, Fabales, Fabaceae.